UACGUAGGUGGCAAGCGUUGUCCGGAUUUACUGGGCGUAAAGGGUGCGCAGGCGGCCAAGUGUGUGAGGCGUGAAAGCCCGGGGCUUAACCCCGGAAUUGCACCUCAAACUACAUGGCUAGAGCAUUGGAGAGGGUAGCGGAAUUCACGGUGUAGCAGUGAAAUGCGUAGAUAUCGUGAGGAACACCAGAGGCGAAGGCGGCUACCUGGACAAUUGCUGACGCUCAGGCACGAAAGCGUGGGGAGCAAAAGGG
RNAcentral lists this ribosomal RNA (253 nucleotides) under uncultured bacterium. RNAcentral's name for it is "partial 16S ribosomal RNA". It matches the Rfam family "Bacterial small subunit ribosomal RNA", at positions 524 to 776 of the family's 1533-position model. The record is from RNAcentral.